RNAcentral lists this non-coding RNA (112 nucleotides) under bovine gut metagenome. RNAcentral's name for it is "FMN riboswitch (RFN element)". It matches the Rfam family "FMN riboswitch aptamer (RFN element)". Rfam says of the family: The RFN element is a highly conserved domain that is found frequently in the 5'-untranslated regions of prokaryotic mRNAs that encode for flavin mononucleotide (FMN) biosynthesis and transport proteins. This element is a metabolite-dependent riboswitch that directly binds FMN in the absence of proteins. The record is from RNAcentral.
UGUCUUUGGGGCAGGGUGAAAUUCCUGACCGAUGGUAAAGUCCAUGAGCCUUUGAAAAAGGUUGAUUCGGUGAAAUUCCGAAACCGACGGUAUAGUCCGGAUGGGAAAAGAU